This 88-nucleotide ribosomal RNA is filed under the name uncultured bacterium. RNAcentral describes it as "partial 16S ribosomal RNA". The record is from RNAcentral.
UCACGAAAGUGGGGNUGUGCUAGAAGCGGCUGGGGCUGACUCGCAAGAGGGGGCAGGUCGCCCACGGCAUGGUCCCAUGAUUGGGGUG